Molecule: non-coding RNA, 234 nt
Filed under: Streptomyces sp. WM6386
Lineage: Bacteria; Bacillati; Actinomycetota; Actinomycetes; Kitasatosporales; Streptomycetaceae
Description: Streptomyces sRNA 4677
Rfam family: Streptomyces sRNA 4677
About the family: Located in the intergenic region between anti-sigma factor SCO4677 gene and a putative regulatory protein gene SCO4676. scr4677 expression requires the SCO4677 activity and scr4677 sRNA itself seem to affect the levels of the SCO4676-associated transcripts.
Source: Rfam by way of RNAcentral
GGCUACACAGCCGUCGGCGAACAGCCCACAAAGGACGACGGAUCGGGCAGCCCGUACGCGGUGACCUUGCUGGAGAAGCACCUCGGUUAACUCACAGGGGUGAACCUCAUCGAUCACCCAAACGGCCCCUGAACAGGCGAUCUAGGCUCGCACCACAACAUCAAAUCGACGGCCCUCGGCUGGGACUGGCAUCCCAACCGAGGGCCUGACCAGCAAGGAAGGAUCAGCUUCCUC